RNAcentral lists this ribosomal RNA (406 nucleotides) under uncultured bacterium. RNAcentral describes it as "partial 16S ribosomal RNA". It matches the Rfam family "Bacterial small subunit ribosomal RNA", at positions 30 to 526 of the family's 1533-position model. The record is from RNAcentral.
AUUGAACGCUGGCGGCAGGCCUAACACAUGCAAGUCGAGCGAGCGGCGGACGGGUGAGUAAUGUCUGGGAAACUGCCUGAUGGAGGGGGAUAACUACUGGAAACGGUAGCUAAUACCGCAUACCAUCAGAUGUGCCCAUAUGGGAUUAGCUAGUAGGUUAGGUAACGGCUGACCUAGGCGACGAUCCCUAGCUGGUCUGAGAGGAUGACCAGCCACACUGGGACUGAGACACGGGCCAGACUCCUACGGGAGGCAGCAGUGGGUACUAUUGCACAAUGGGCGCAAGCCUGAUGAAGCCAUGCCGCGUGUGUGAAGAAGGCCUUAGGGUUGUAAAGCACUUUCAGCGGGGAGGCGUUGCCCACAGAAGAAGCACCGGCUAACUCCGUGCCAGCGGCCGCGGUAAUAC